AAGCAGGGGAUCGCAAGACCUUGCGCUUUUGGAGUGGCCGAUGCCUGAUUAGCUAGUUGGUGGGGUAAGGGCCUACCAAGGCGACGAUCAGUAGUUGGUCUGAGAGGACGACCAGCCACACUGGGACUGAGACACGGCCCAGACUCCUACGGGAGGCAGCAGUGGGGAAUUUUGGACAAUGGGCGAAAGCCUGAUCCAGCAAUGCCGCGUGAGUGAAGAAGGCCUUCGGGUUGUAAAGCUCUUUCAGUCGAGAAGAAAAGGUCGCGACUAAUAAUCGCGACUCAUGACGGUAUCGACAGAAGAAGCACCGGCUAACUACGUGCCAGCAGCCGCGGUAAUACGUAGGGUGCGAGCGUUAAUCGGAAUUACUGGGCGUAAAGGGUGCGCAGGCGGCUUUGUAAGUCAGAUGUGAAAUCCCCGGGCUUAACCUGGGAAUUGCGUUUGAAACUACAAAGCUUAGA
Molecule: ribosomal RNA, 461 nt
Filed under: uncultured ammonia-oxidizing beta proteobacterium
Lineage: Bacteria; Pseudomonadati; Pseudomonadota; Betaproteobacteria
Description: bacterial SSU rRNA
Rfam family: Bacterial small subunit ribosomal RNA
Source: RNAcentral